UACGUAGGUGGCAAGCGUUGUCCGGAAUUAUUGGGCGUAAAGCGCGCGCAGGCGGUCCUUUAAGUCUGAUGUGAAAGCCCACGGCUCAACCGUGGAGGGUCAUUGGAAACUGGGGGACUUGAGUGCAGAAGAGGAAAGCGGAAUUCCACGUGUAGCGGUGAAAUGCGUAGAGAUGUGGAGGAACACCAGUGGCGAAGGCGGCUUCCUGGUCCAGCACCGACGUUCAGGCACGAAAGCGUGGGGAGCAAACAGG
This 253-nucleotide ribosomal RNA is filed under the name uncultured bacterium. Its description in RNAcentral is "partial 16S ribosomal RNA". It matches the Rfam family "Bacterial small subunit ribosomal RNA", at positions 524 to 776 of the family's 1533-position model. The record is from RNAcentral.